Molecule: ribosomal RNA, 122 nt
Filed under: Scuticaria hadwenii
Lineage: Eukaryota; Viridiplantae; Streptophyta; Magnoliopsida; Asparagales; Orchidaceae
Description: partial 18S ribosomal RNA
Rfam family: Eukaryotic small subunit ribosomal RNA
Source: RNAcentral
GANCGCUGCGACGCGGGCGGUUCGCCGCCCGCGACUCGGCGAGAAUCCAUNGAACCUUAUCAUUUAGAGGAAGGAGAAGUCGUAACAAGGUUUCCGUAGGUGAACCUGCGGAAGGAUCAUUG